Molecule: long non-coding RNA, 1143 nt
Filed under: Bos grunniens (domestic yak)
Lineage: Eukaryota; Metazoa; Chordata; Mammalia; Artiodactyla; Bovidae
Description: lncRNA (ENSBGRG00000005854.1)
Source: RNAcentral
AUGUGGUCUUCGCCCUCCACGCCCACCUCCCUCCUCCUCCAGCCCUCACCCCCGAUCCCUGUGCUGCCCACAAAAAUGCAGCCCAGAUCUGAGCAGCAGCUGACGUCUGCGGCCGGCUUGACCCGCACACCGCAGGCCAGGCCCGCGCGGGCGACCACCGGGCGGCCCCGGGCGCCGAGUCCGGAGUCAGCUGCACCCGGGACCCGCGCCGCCCGAAGCACGCCUGCGGCGGCGAGAAAGCUGGGCUCGCGCCGACUUCCCGGCAAAUCGUCUUUCCAGGCACAACUUUUUUUCCACUUCUGCGGCGGGCGGUCGCGGCUGCCAGAGACGAAGCGGCGUUCCCUCCUUCCCCAGCGUCCGGCACCCGUCCCGCCAGCACCUCCCCGGCCCCGGUCCGCCUUCCGCGCGGGCUCGGUGGGCGCCGCGCCGGGUGCCCCGCGGGUCGAGGCUGCGCGCGGGCCCCGCCGCCCCGACUCACCCGGUCCCGGCUCGGCGUCCUCGGCUCCGAGCCGCGGCUCCCCGUUACGCCUCCCCGCAGCCACCUCUCGGUCUCUCCGGCCCCGCCGGGCGCGCGGGGAAGAAUUAGGAGGAGGAGGGCGGAGGGAGGAGGCGGGAGGAGGGGGCGCGGGCGGGAGGGAGAGGGUCCCGGGCGCGGGAGGCGGCGGCGGCGAGGCGAGAGCGCCGACCUCGGCCGCCGCGGGGCUAGCAGGCUGGGAGGGGACGGGGGCGGGGGCGGAGAGAGGAGGCGGCCGCCGAGCCUCCCUGCCCAGGGCCCGGCCCCGCGCCGCCGCCCAGUCACCCUCGCCGCCGAGCCCUGCUCCCGGCCGGCGUCCGGGGAGGGGUCGGGCCCGGGGCUCUCCCGGCGUGGGGCGGGGCGGACGGCCGAAGCCCGGCCUCCUGGGCGGAGUGUCCCGCGGGGCCCCAGGGGUGUGGGCGCAAGGGGAUCCCCGCGAGGAGGGAGGAGGCCCCGGGGCCUGGGAGCGCGGUGUCUGCGCCCGUCGGGCGGCGGUGGCGAGGCCGGCGAGGGUCCCCCGAGCUGGGCCCGGGGAGCUCCCGGCGCGGUUUCGGAAAACCGUCUCCAGGAGUCGGGAGGACGCCCUCCGCCCGGCCGGAGGAGGCGGGGAACCGCGGAGUCGGGGGUGA